GGGGGGGGGGCCCAAUCAUGCAAGUCGAACGGUAGCAGGAGAAAGCUGUGCUCUUCCUUGCUGACUACUGGCGGACGGGUGAGUAGUGCUUGGGAAUCUGGCUUAUGGAGGGGGAUAACGACGGGAAACUGUCGCUAAUACCGCGUAUUAUCGGAAGAUGAAAGUGCGGGACUGAGAGGCCGCAUGCCAUAAGAUGAGCCCAAGUGGGAUUAGGUAGUUGGUGGGGUAAAGGCCUACCAAGCCUGCGAUCUCUAGCUGGUCUGACAGGAUGACCGGCCACACUGGAACUGAGUCACGGUCCAGACUCCUACGGGAGGCAGCAGUGGGGAAUAUUGCGCAAUGGGGGGAACCCUGACGCACCCAUGCCGCGUGAAUGAAUAAGGCCUUAUGGUUGUACAGUUCUUUCGGUAUUGAGGAAAGUUGAUGUGUUAAUAUCACAUCUUAUUGACGUUAAAUACACAAGAAGCACCGGCUAACUCCGUGCCAUCAGCCGCGGUAAUACAGAGGGUGCGAGCGUUAAUCGGAAUAACUGGGCGUAAAGGGCACGCAGGCGGUUAUUUAAUUGACGUGUGAAAUCCCUGGGCUUAGCCUAAGAAUUGCAUUUCAGACUGUGUAACUAUAGUACUUUAGGGAGGAGUAGAAUUCCACCUGUCGCAAUGAAAUGCGUAUAGAUGUGGAGGAAUACCGAAGGCAAACGCAUCUGCUUUCCAAUGUACUGACGCUCAUGUGCGAUAGCAUGCGCAGGGGACACGAUUACAUACGCUGGUAGUCCACUCUGUAUUCCCUGUCUAUCUGCUGGUGGGGGUUUACUCCCCCCCCCGUAAUCUACGUGAUCACUCGGGGGUGCAGGUCUUACGUUAGGCACAGUUCGUGUUCU
Molecule: ribosomal RNA, 877 nt
Filed under: uncultured bacterium
Lineage: Bacteria
Description: bacterial SSU rRNA
Rfam family: Bacterial small subunit ribosomal RNA
Source: RNAcentral